AUUGAACGCUGGCGGCAUGCCUUACACAUGCAAGUCGAACGGCAGCACGGGAGCAAUCCUGGUGGCGAGUGGCGAACGGGUGAGUAAUAUAUCGGAACGUGCCCAGUCGUGGGGAUAACGUAGCGAAAGCUACGCUAAUACCGCAUACGAUCUAUGGAUGAAAGCGGGGGAUCGCAAGACCUCGCGCGAUUGGAGCGGCCGAUAUCAGAUUAGGUAGUUGGUGAGGUAAAGGCUCACCAAGCCGACGAUCUGUAGCUGGUCUGAGAGGACGACCAGCCACACUGGGACUGAGACACGGCCCAGACUCCUACGGAGGCAGCAGUGGGGAAUUUUGGACAAUGGGCGCAAGCCUGAUCCGGCAAUGCCGCGUGCAGGAUGAAGGCCUCGGUUGGUU
This 394-nucleotide ribosomal RNA is filed under the name uncultured bacterium. Its description in RNAcentral is "bacterial SSU rRNA". It matches the Rfam family "Bacterial small subunit ribosomal RNA", at positions 30 to 424 of the family's 1533-position model. The record is from RNAcentral.